GGAAGCAAGUGCAAGAGUGAAACAAAUAGGUUUAUUAAAGUCCGGUAUACAAAUAAAUCCAGGGGGAACAACAGAUGGUCGCGGUGAUGACUGACGGUGAUCCCGUAAGUGGCGGUGAGGUGAGGCAGCAGGAGAGCGUGACACAGGCCUGAGAUGAGCAGUCCGUGGUGGUGAGUAGUGGCAUCCGGUGGUGAAGAGUGGACGGGGUUCCAGGGUCAGACGAACAGCGAUGACGAGAAACCAGGCAGACGAACGGGAGACUUCAUACAACGCUCUGACAAACACAAGACGAAAGACAGGGCAAUAAAUAGGGAUCGGGUAAUGAGUAACAGCUGGUGCCAAUGAACAAUCAACGGAGACGCCCACAUGAAACAAUCAGUGCUGACGAGCAACACACACAAACUCCACCCACAUAGUGCACACCCGAGACCACGGUUUACUAACCGUGACACUUAUAAAAGCAGGUCCAUAAAACAUAUUACAAUUUUGAUACUUAUCUACUAAUCUAAUGACCCCUCCUGCCCCGUAACUUAUCUCAUACCUAUUAGCUAACUUACUCCUCUUUAAAGUCCAGGGCAGCGGGACUAUACUUGCACUCCAGUAACACAGAACUGUAGCCACUUGAUUAAUAGUCAAAGGAUCAAAAUCUUUAGAGCAGCUACUGUAGGGUGACCAUAUGCGCCGUUCAUACGGGACACGUCCCGGCCAGAUUUUAAUAUUGCCUAAAACGUCCAAAGCAGUUUGACCAAUAACAUGCAGGUAUUAUACAUAAUCGACCAAUCGUGGGGCUGCGCGUGAGAAGGCGAGAUCUACAUGGAACAAUCAAAGCGAUGCAAUAUGCGCACGUGUUCGUUCGUUCGUUCGUUUGAUAGAAUCGUCACUGCUCAAAAAGACAGCAAAGUAGGUGCGAGAGCGAUCCGAAAGCAUAAGGAGCCGUCUGCUCUGCUCUCUAGCUCUCAUGAAUGUCGCACAACGAUCGACCUGCAAACAGCCAAAACCUGGAUAUUUUAGGCAAUAUUAAAAUCCUGGCCGGGACGUGUCCCGUAUAAACGGCGCAUAUGGUCACCCUAAGCUACUGAUAAUUUUUCCACACUCCGCACCUUUCAAACCAUAAACUGCGUCAUAAAAGAAAACUAAAUUAUUCCUAUAUACUCCCUUCUCAUCUUUCUUCCUUCUUAUAUUCAAUCUUUUCAAAUAUAAUUUCCUUUUUACACUUAAAAUUUCACUCGUCAGGUUUCCAGUAAAAGGGUCGGUACCGUUUAGGAAAUCACUACAAUCCAUAUUUUCUCUAUCUUUGUCACAAAAACUAGCAUACGAAAAAUCAUUAUAAUCAGUCUUCGUGUAUUUAUACUUUUGUCCGUGGUUUCCACGACUAAUUUCUUUCCUAACACAUUUAUCCAUUUGUUUCACUCUAUUCUCUUAAUAGUCUUUUAUUUCACUUUCGGUUUUAACCAUGUCGUUUAGUUUCAUUUUCACUAAAUACACUUCUGUUUUUCACUUAUGUUCAUCUAAGUCCCAGCAACCAAUUUUAAAAUUAUAUUUGACUCUGGGUAUGGUCAUUACUCUCUUCCAUAUCCACGGUAUUAUAUUAUUUAAUUCCAAAUCAAUUUUUGUAGUGGACCUAGACUCUAACUCUGCAUAACCUGUCUUUCGUGACCCUACAUGUCUGUCCCUAACAGUUGUUAAUAGAUAAUAGAAGCAAAUUCACCCUCCGGAUUCGAAAUUUGACUAAUUCUUAUCCACUCUUCUACAUUCUUUAUUUUCUCUGCAUAUUUUAAUUUAUCGAUUUUACUUUCUCUUUUGCUACUUUCUAUUUUACUUUCUCUUUUGCUUUUAACUUUUCCUUCAUAUUUACACUGUCCAAUCUUCCGUGGAUCAAAAUGUUUGCGUGAUCUAAAUAUCCAACAUCCUCCCAGCUCUUAGCUGGAACUGGUCCUGUAAGUUCGUCCUAUAAAAUAAUGAACGGUUUUAUUUCCUUCACGCUCUUAAAUGUAACUAUUUUCCUCAAAUAUUUCGGUUUCCCUUUUGUGCCAUUGUCUCAUUUUUACUGUGCUUUUAAGCUUAACCUUGGGUGUAAGGACCAUAUAAUAACUUGUCUUGUCAGUACUAAUAUUAUCUAACCAUUUCCAAAAAUACUAACGUAUUAUUUUCUAUUUCCUUUCUCUUUUUCCUCGAGGUUCCCCAUACGGAUAAUUCAAAUCCUGUUAUAGUUUGCCUUUGGACUUCCACUUCCGCUAAAAUAAUACUUCCCGAUAAUAUUUCCCACUUACACUUAUUAAGAUUAGCAAAAACACAAUUACUCCUAAUAAAAACCAUAAAAUGAUACUUAUCCAUCUGCAGCACUGUCGUUGUUUCUUCAACUUUCUGAUGGUCUUCCGAGCUUCGCCCAACUCUUCUGGAAGACUUUCUAAUGACGGCGAGCAUCUCAUUUUUCUGUAAACAGAGAUUAGUUUUGUAGCGGUCUUCUCCUCAGGAUUCCCUUCUUUAUCACCUUUACGUCCGGUUGAUCAUGAUGCACUUCAACUUCAAUACCCCCCAGCCAAUCGAAGUCGGGAUGAGCACAUAGCAACACAUUUGUCCGAAAAUGCAUCACGAUCAUGAAAGUCUCUCCAGAGACUUCCAUAUUUG
Cyprinus carpio carpio is the source of this 2628-nucleotide long non-coding RNA. NCBI's taxonomy places the organism in Eukaryota, Metazoa, Chordata, Actinopteri, Cypriniformes, Cyprinidae. The record is from Ensembl.